CACGUAGGGCGCGAGCGUUGUCCGGAAUUAUUGGGCGUAAAGAGCUCGUAGGCGGCCUGUUGCGUCCGCUGUGAAAGCCCGGGGCUUAACCCCGGGUCGGCAGUGGAUACGGGCAGGCUAGAGGUAGGUAGGGGAGAAUGAAAUUCCCGGUGUAGCGGUGAAAUGCGCAGAUAUCGGGAGGAACACCGGUGGCGAAGGCGGUUCUCUGGGCCUUACCUGACGCUGAGGAGCGAAAGCGUGGGGAGCGAACAGG
This 253-nucleotide ribosomal RNA is filed under the name uncultured bacterium. RNAcentral's name for it is "partial 16S ribosomal RNA". It matches the Rfam family "Bacterial small subunit ribosomal RNA", at positions 524 to 776 of the family's 1533-position model. The record is from RNAcentral.